This 318-nucleotide ribosomal RNA is filed under the name uncultured bacterium. RNAcentral describes it as "bacterial SSU rRNA". It matches the Rfam family "Bacterial small subunit ribosomal RNA", at positions 28 to 334 of the family's 1533-position model. The record is from RNAcentral.
GAUGAACGCUAGCGGCAGGCUUAACACAUGCAAGUCGAGGGGCAGCAUGGGACGGAGAUUCGUCGAAGUCCUGAUGGCGACCGGCGCAAGGGUGCGUAACGCGUGAGCAACUUGCCCGUUUCAGGGGGAUAACCGGUGGAAACGCCGACUAAUACCCCAUGGUAUUGAGUUUAGGCAUCUUUACUCAAUUAAAGAAUUUCGGAAACGGAUAGGCUCGCGUGACAUUAGCUAGAUGGCGGGGUAACGGCCCACCAUGGCGACGAUGUCUAGGGGUUCUGAGAGGAAGGUCCCCCACAUAGGAACUGAGACACGGUCCUA